UGGAGGGAUCCCACAUCGAGAAGCUAACAUAAGAGUGGAUGCGAAGCUGGCUUUAAAUAGAGGGAACCAUGAGGAGAGUAAAGGUACCUUUCUUGGCUGAUCCCUUUCGUUGUAUGGCGUGCUCGUUUGGGUUGGGCGUCGGCUAAGAGUGCUCGGAGCGUGGAUUAACUCCAGUCUCCUAUCAGGUGUGUAUUUCUCGCUACUCUAGCUGUAGGAUGGCUACUUUGGGCCGCGAUAGGCCGAAAGGGGCUAUGUGGGCCCAAUGGGCCUACGGGCCCAAUUGAAUAAAUUGUUUGAUUGUGUAGUAAAUAUUGGACUAGGCAAGGAGAAUCUCAUAUUUGUGGCUAGAUUUGGGCUAAAAGGGCCACACGAGCGUGUGGGCCCAUUUGGGCCGAGAAUAGGCUUUAAGGCCAUUUGUAUUGUUAUCCAUGUUUAGAAUACUUUAGUUUACCAAUUAUUGAAAUGCCCUCGACUUGUAAAAUUACCAAAGUACCCUCGAUUUAUAAAAUUAUCGUUUUACUGUCGAUUUACAAAAUUACCAUUUUACCCUCAAUUUACAAAAUUACCGUUUGACCCUCGAUUGUGAAAUUACUAAAAUACCCCUGUAGGAUAGAAUUACCAAAAUACCCCUAGUUUGUAAAAUUACCAAAAUACCCCUAGUUUGAAAAUUACCGAAAUACCACUGGUUUGUGAAAUUACCGAAAUACCCUCAAUUUGUAAAAUUACCAAAAUACCCCUAAUUUACAAAAUUGCAAGAAUACCCUUGACUUUCUAAAAAUUAUAGAAAUACCAUUGGUUUACAAAAUUACUGAAAUACCCUUGGUUUGUAUAUUUUCCAAAACACCCUUGUAGGAUGAAAUGACUAAAAUACCCCUAAUAGGUAAAAAGACCGUAAAGCCUCUGUAGGGUAAAGUGACUGUAAUACCCCUGUAUGGUAAAAUGUCGAAUAUGCCCUUAUGUUUCGUAUGACUGAUGUACUUAGGAUUUACAUAUAUUGAUAUUGGAAAAGUUAAUUUGAGUGACAAGUGGUGGUUAUCGUAGGUGAUUGAUUAUGGAAACAUUUCAACUUCAACCCGUAACAGGUGUGUGCUACCCCUCGUAAUAGCUUAGAUUAAUAUUUGCUGAGAAGCCGAAAUGCUAAAAUCCCAGCAUUUCGGGAACUUGAGAUUUUGCAUGUGGUUUUAGAUGCGAUAAAAAUGAUAUGAUCGGUGUUUGGAUCGAUGGAGCAGGUAAGAGCGCAAUUUUGUGCACGAUGGUAAGUUGGGCCUCAAGGGGCUGGAAUUGGGCCUAAUGGGCUUUCGGGCCCAUUUGGGUAAAAUUGAUAGGAAAUGGAAUUUGGAAAAGUUGCAUGUUAACACGGUUAGUACUAUUGUAAAAUUUGGAUUAUGUGGGCUUAAUGGGCUAAAUCGGCAUUCGUAGGGCCCAUUAGAGGUUUUGGGCCAAAAGCCCGAAUUUGAUUAAGUGGGUUAAAGAUCAUUGUUUAAACACUCAGAAAUAUUGACAAUUGUAAUGAACAUGGAAAACCCUAAUAUUUGGUAAAAUUACAAAAAUACCCUUCUAAUAUGAAAAAUAACUGUUUUGCCCUUGUGGGCAAGUGACUGACUUGGACUGUGUGGUUGACGGACUUGAUUGUGAAUAUAUGUUGGUGAUAUGAAUGACUUGAUUGUGAUUGUUUGAUUCAAAUAUGGGCAUGAAAUUCUGCAUACAUAACAUAUUGUAUGGGAUGGGUUUUAUAUGGAUGGAGGAAGUGCAAAAGGGCUAUGCCCCAGUUACCGAAAAGGGCUUUGCCCCAGGUUACCGAAAAGGGCUUUUGCCCCAGUUUAUCAAAAAGGGCUUUGCCCCAGUUAUUAAAAGAGGCUAGGCCUCCAGUUAUAUGAUAAAGCAGCUAUGCUACCAGUGGAGAGUUUGGUUAGGUGGGUUGAGUUAUUCCCUACAUGGAGAGCUUGGUUGGUACGGGUGGAGAGUAGCGGAUGGUGGGUUGAGUAGUCUCCCCAAAUGGGCUUGUAUAUAUCCAUUGACAUUACAUGUGAUAUUGAAAUGGGCCUAAGGGCCAUACCAUUUACAGUAAAGGCUUCGGCCCAGUGAUAUGAUUUAUGAAAAGGCUUCGGUCCAGUGAUAUGAUUUAUGAAAAGGCUUCAGCCCAGUAACCGUUGAACAAAAGGCUUCGGCCCAGUAUAUGUCGAGACUGAAUAGGGCUUUGGCCUAGAUUGUACUGAUACUGUGUUUUCACUGUUUGUUUGUUAUUGAGAUUACACACUGAGUUUUCGUAAACUCAUCUCGUUUCUAACUGUGCAGGUAAUCCCUAAGCUUAGAUGGUUUGGAGCUGCGUGGGACUCGGAGAUGGCCACACUACUGUUUCUGUUUCUUUUAAUUGCAAUAAGUAGCCGAUUUAUUUCUUUAUAAGUUUUAUCUUAUUAAUAUUAUUAUUUGGUUUUGGGUUGUAAUAAGGCCAUUUUAAUUAUUUUUCUGGGAUUAUUUUAUCUUAUACCCUAUAUUUUU
This 2499-nucleotide long non-coding RNA is filed under the name Gossypium barbadense (sea-island cotton). Its description in RNAcentral is "long non-coding RNA (GBAR_LNC001366)". The record is from RNAcentral. Lineage: Eukaryota; Viridiplantae; Streptophyta; Magnoliopsida; Malvales; Malvaceae.